ACGGGAGGCAGCAGUGGGGAAUAUUGGGCAAUGGGCGCAAGCCUGACCUAGCAACGCCGCGUGAAGGAUGAAGGUCCUCGGAUUGUAAACUUCUUUGAUCAGGGACGAAUUUUGACGGUACCUGAAGAACAAGUCACGGCUAACUACGUGCCAGCAGCCGCGGUAAUACGUAGGUGACAAGCGUUAUCCGGAUUUACUGGGUGUAAAGGGCGUGUAGGCGGUUUAGCAAGUCAGAAGUGAAAUUCCCGGGCUUAACUUGGGCGCUGCUUCUGAAACUGCAGAACUUGAGUACUGGAGGGGAAAGCGGAAUUCCUAGUGUAGCGGUAAAAUGCACAGAUAUUAGGAGGAACACCGGUGGCGAAGGCGGCUUUCUGGACAGUAACUGACGCUGAGGCGCGAAAGCGUGGGGAGCAAACAGGAUUAGAUACCCUGGUA
Molecule: ribosomal RNA, 435 nt
Filed under: uncultured Saccharofermentans sp.
Lineage: Bacteria; Bacillati; Bacillota; Clostridia; Eubacteriales; Oscillospiraceae
Description: partial 16S ribosomal RNA
Rfam family: Bacterial small subunit ribosomal RNA
Source: RNAcentral